Molecule: long non-coding RNA, 451 nt
Organism: Centruroides sculpturatus (bark scorpion)
Lineage: Eukaryota; Metazoa; Arthropoda; Arachnida; Scorpiones; Buthidae
Exons: 4
Source: RefSeq, a predicted model, not a curated record
AGUUGAUGAUGCCCGAACCCGUGACCAUCGAAUAUUAUUGUGCGGGUUUAUCCAUUCGGACACUGGUGACUGCUUUUUAUGGAUCUUAUCAAGAAAUCAGAAUAUUCUCUAUUUCUUCUUUGCCCAUUCAAGUGAAAUUAAAGAUGUUAUGUUUCAUGAAGCUAUUUUUUGACAAAGAGAAAGCUUUUCGUGUGGCGGAUUUUUUACUUUUUCAAGAACCUUUCCUUUAAGAAUUACCGAAUCUCUCUACAGCACAUUUUCUGCCUUGUUGGAACUAAGAAGUUUAAUGGAGGAGAAAAAAUCGUGCAGAGAUAUUUACUUGGCUCAAAAUACCAGCUCUAAAUUCAAUGCAAAUUCUAUUCUUAACUUAUAAAUCCGUCUAUAAUGCAUUUUCUAAUUCGAAUAAUUUGUUUUCGUGCAAUAAGAUUAGAUUAGAUUGAUGGAAUAAUUU